This 258-nucleotide ribosomal RNA is filed under the name uncultured bacterium. RNAcentral's name for it is "partial small subunit ribosomal RNA". It matches the Rfam family "Bacterial small subunit ribosomal RNA", at positions 26 to 285 of the family's 1533-position model. The record is from RNAcentral.
AGAAUCAACGCUGGCGGCGUGCCUAACACAUGCAAGUCGAACGAGAAAGUGGAGCAAUCCAUGAGUAAAGUGGCGACCGGGUGAGUAACACGUGACUAACCUACCUUCAAGUGGGGAUAACCUCGGGAAACCGGGCUAAUACCGCAUAACAUCUUUGGAGUGGAAAUUCUGGAGAUCAAAGGAGCAAUUCGCUGGAAGAGGGGGUCGCGGCUGAUUAGCUAGUUGGCGGGUAAUGGCCCACCAAGGCUUUGAUCGGUA